This 253-nucleotide ribosomal RNA is filed under the name uncultured bacterium. RNAcentral describes it as "partial 16S ribosomal RNA". It matches the Rfam family "Bacterial small subunit ribosomal RNA", at positions 524 to 776 of the family's 1533-position model. The record is from RNAcentral.
UUCGGAGGGAGCGCGCGUUAUCCGGAAUCCCUGGGUUUAAAGGGUGCGUAGGCGGCUCGGUAAGUCAGUUGGGAAAGCCCCUUGCUUAACGAGGGAGGUGCGAUUGAUACUGUCGCGCUUGAAUCGGGAUGAGGCAGGCGGAAUGUGGCAUGUACCGGGGAAAUGCAUAGAUAUGCCAUCGAACACCGAUUGCGAAGGCAGCCUGCUGGGCCGGUUAUGACGCUGAGGCACGAAAUCGUGGGGCGCAAACAGG